AGGCACUUGUUAUCCGUGGUAAUGAUCAAUUAGAUAUGGAGGAAGUCAUUGCAAACUGUGAUAUUCACACUCGUAA
This 76-nucleotide transfer RNA is filed under the name Shewanella piezotolerans WP3. Its description in RNAcentral is "tRNA-Glu". The record is from RNAcentral. Lineage: Bacteria; Pseudomonadati; Pseudomonadota; Gammaproteobacteria; Alteromonadales; Shewanellaceae.